Molecule: ribosomal RNA, 427 nt
Filed under: uncultured bacterium
Lineage: Bacteria
Description: partial 16S ribosomal RNA
Rfam family: Bacterial small subunit ribosomal RNA
Source: RNAcentral
UGGGGAAUAUUGGACAAUGGGCGAAAGCCUGAUCCAGCCAUGCCGCGUGGGUGAAGAAGGUCUUCGGAUUGUAAAGCACUUUAAGUUGGGAGGAAGGGCAUUAACCUAAUACGUUAGUGUUUUGACGUUACCGACAGAAUAAGCACCGGCUAACUCUGUGCCAGCAGCCGCGGUAAUACAGAGGGUGCAAGCGUUAAUCGGAAUUACUGGGCGUAAAGCGCGCGUAGGUGGUUUGUUAAGUUGGAUGUGAAAUCCCCGGGCUCAACCUGGGAACUGCAUUCAAAACUGACUGACUAGAGUAUGGUAGAGGGUGGUGGAAUUUCCUGUGUAGCGGUGAAAUGCGUAGAUAUAGGAAGGAACACCAGUGGCGAAGGCGACCACCUGGACUAAUACUGACACUGAGGUGCGAAAGCGUGGGGAGCAAACA